CCUACGGGUGGCUGCAGCGGGGAAUAUUGGACAAUGGGCGAAAGCCUGAUCCAGCCAUGCCGCGUGUGUGAAGAAGGCCUUCGGGUUGUAAAGCACUUUCAGUGGGGAAGAAAGCCUUGGGGCUAAUACCCUCGAGGAAGGACAUCACCCACAGAAGAAGCACCGGCUAACUCCGUGCCAGCAGCCGCGGUAAUACGGAGGGUGCGAGCGUUAAUCGGAAUUACUGGGCGUAAAGCGCGCGUAGGCGGUCUGAUAAGCCGGUUGUGAAAGCCCCGGGCUCAACCUGGGAACGGCAUCCGGAACUGUCAGGCUAGAGUGCAGGAGAGGAAGGUAGAAUUCCCGGUGUAGAGGUGAAAUGCGUAGAGAUCGGGAGGAAUACCAGUGGCGAAGGCGGCCUUCUGGACUGACACUGACGCUGAGGUGCGAAAGCGUGGGUAGCAACCAGGAUUAGAUACCCGUUAGUC
Molecule: ribosomal RNA, 464 nt
Filed under: Vreelandella stevensii
Lineage: Bacteria; Pseudomonadati; Pseudomonadota; Gammaproteobacteria; Oceanospirillales; Halomonadaceae
Description: partial 16S ribosomal RNA
Rfam family: Bacterial small subunit ribosomal RNA
Source: RNAcentral